This 447-nucleotide ribosomal RNA is filed under the name uncultured bacterium. Its description in RNAcentral is "bacterial SSU rRNA". It matches the Rfam family "Bacterial small subunit ribosomal RNA", at positions 355 to 825 of the family's 1533-position model. The record is from RNAcentral.
UCGGGAAUUUUGGGCAAUGGGCGAAAGCCUGACCCAGCAACGCCGCGUGAAGGAUGAAGUAUUUCGGUAUGUAAACUUCGAAAGAAUGGGAAGAAUAAAUGACGGUACUAUUUAUAAGGUCCGGCUAACUACGUGCCAGCAGCCGCGGUAAUACGUAGGGACCAAGCGUUGUUCGGAUUUACUGGGCGUAAAGGGCGCGUAGGCGGCAAUUCAAGUCAUCUGUGAAAUCUCCGGGCUUAACUCGGAACGGUCAGAUGAUACUGCUUUGCUAGAGUGCAGAAGGGGCAAUCGGAAUUCUUGGUGUAGCGGUGAAAUGCGUAGAUAUCAAGAGGAACACCUGAGGUGAAGACGGGUUGCUGGGCUGACACUGACGCUGAGGCGCGAAAGCCAGGGGAGCAAACGGGAUUAGAUACCCUAGUAGUCCCUGAGCGGGCUGGCAAGGCGCAU